UACGUAGGGGGCAAGCGUUGUCCGGAUUUAUUGGGCGUAAAGAGCGUGUAGGCGGCCAGAUAGGUCCGUUGUGAAAACUCGAGGCUCAACCUCGAGACGCCGAUGGAAACCAUCUGGCUAGAGUCCGGAAGAGGAGAGUGGAAUUCCUGGUGUAGCGGUGAAAUGCGCAGAUAUCAGGAAGAACACCCGUGGCUAAGGCGGCUCUCUUGUACGGUACUGACGCUGAGACGCGAAAGCGUGGGGAGCGAACAGG
This 253-nucleotide ribosomal RNA is filed under the name uncultured bacterium. RNAcentral describes it as "partial 16S ribosomal RNA". It matches the Rfam family "Bacterial small subunit ribosomal RNA", at positions 524 to 776 of the family's 1533-position model. The record is from RNAcentral.